Molecule: ribosomal RNA, 691 nt
Filed under: uncultured bacterium
Lineage: Bacteria
Description: bacterial SSU rRNA
Rfam family: Bacterial small subunit ribosomal RNA
Source: RNAcentral
GGAUAACGGCUGGAAACGGUCGCUAAUACCGCAUAACAUACUGGGAGGACAUCCUGCUGGUAUCAAAGAUUUAUCGCUCGAAGAUGGGCUCGCGUCCGAUUAGGUAGUUGGUGAGGUAACGGCUCACCAAGCCGACGAUCGGUAGCCGACUGAGAGGUUGAACGGCCACAUUGGGACUGAGACACGGCCCAGACUCCUACGGGAGGCAGCAGUGGGGGAUAUUGCACAAUGGGGGAAACCCUGAUGCAGCGACGCCGCGUGUGGGAAGACGGUCCUCUGGAUUGUAAACCACUGUCCCCAGGGACGAAAAUGACGGUACCUGGGGAGGAAGCUCCGGCUAACUACGUGCCAGCAGCCGCGGUAAUACGUAGGGAGCGAGCGUUGUCCGGAAUUACUGGGUGUAAAGGGAGCGUAGGCGGGGAUGCAAGUUGGGUGUCAAAACUACCGGCUCAACUGGUAGUCGCACUCAAAACUGCAGCUCUUGAGUGAAGUAGAGGCAGGCGGAAUUCCUAGUGUAGCGGUGAAAUGCGUAGAUAUUAGGAGGAACACCAGUGGCGAAGGCGGCCUGCUGGGCUUUUACUGACGCUGAGGCUCGAAAGUGUGGGGAGCAAACAGGAUUAGAUACCCUGGUAGUCCACACCGUAAACGAUGAUUACUAGGUGUGGGGGGUCUGACCCCUUCCGUGCCGGAG